CUGAGCUUCUUCUGCUGGUUUUGCUGGGAGGUUCGCUGGUCUGUCCUCUAAAAUAAGUGCAGUAGUGGAGAGUGGCUCAAAAUCAAGGUUCUUCCUCACAUUCUGCUUAGGAGAGAGUGGUCUGUGAGCUCGUCCAGUUUUUUCUUCAUAUUCCAUGAACGCCGCGGAGCCUCACCGGCCGCGCCGCCGCAGCCCCAUGCCCGGGGCGCUCCGGGACCUGGCUCCCCGCCGCGGCGCCGCCCGGGCCCGCACGGCCUCGCGGGCCGCCCGCCCCGUCCCGCCCCGCCCCGCCAGUCCCGCUAAUCAGCUGCGGAGCCGCCGCGGUCGAUCGCUUCUCUCCCUCUCGCCCAGCGCUGCCUGAGCACGCGUGGCGGCGGGGCGGGCCCGGCCGGGUACGCCGCUUCCGUGCCCGCUUUCCCGGCUCCCAGGCCGGCGGGCUCCCGCCUCGGGGGGACGCGUACCAGCAGCGGGCCUAAGGAAACUGCGGGCGGCCUCACUGCUGCUGUCCGCCCUCUUUGGGCAGCUCUAAAAGGUCCGUGCCCGUCGCGUUUACCAUAAGUACCGUGCUGUCAACCUCGCAUCUGCAGCCGUUCCUCGCUCCAGUGCUCAGGACCUCACGCUGCUCGUGGCCUUCACCGAGGCCCGAUCCUGAGUCUGAAUGAGCAGCAGGGAUACCCUCAAUACAACAGAAGUCACUUAAGCAUUCUGCUUGUGAGAAUUUCUACAAAUUCUUCUUAUUUUCUCUUAAAUUGGGCCACAAAAACGGUGAAAGGGUUGGAAUACCCCAGCAUGUAAGGACAGGCUGAGAGCUGGGGCUGUUCAGCUUGAAGAGACAGAUCAGAGGUGACCUGAGAGCAGCCCUUCGGUAUCUAAAAGGGGGCUGUAAGAAAGGAGCCAGAGCCAUUAGCAGGGGCUGCUGUAACAACUGGGCUCCACAGUUUAAAAUGACAAGGAUCUCCUCAAAGGAGUCCAGCAAAGAGCCACAAAGAUGACUAACAGCCUGGAGCAUCUCCCGUAUGAGGAAUGAUUGAGUAACCUGGGUCUGUAUAGCUUGGGGAAAAGAAGAUAGAGGGAGGACCUGAUUAAUGUUUAUAAAUAUCUAAAGGGAGGAGGGAGAGAAAUGCAUGAGGCCAGGCUCUUCUCGGUGGUGUACAGAGCAAUGGCCUAAAACUUGAACAUAGGAAGUUCCAUAUGAACAUGCAGAAGAAGUUUAUACAGUGCAGGUGAUGGAGCACUGGAACAGGCUGCCCAGAGAGGCUGUGCAGCCUCCUUCUUUGGAGAUAUUCAAGACCUGUCUAGACACCUACCCAUGCAACCUGCUGUAGGGUCCCUUACAACUCAAAACAAUUCUAUGAUGAUUGGAAUUGCUGGAUGUUUUAUCAGCCUAAUGUUUUCAACCUACAGCUUGCCAUCGAAUUCUGAGGCAGCAAUAAUACAUCAAAUGAGAGACAGCUCAUUUGUUUAAAAGAAUCUCAGCCUCAUCACCUCCUACCAUCGCUAAUUAACAACAGACACCUGGUGUCAGAGCACAGACAAUCACCACAAGGCUAUCAACUGAGCUCAUGAAAAGCACCGCAGCCCCAAAUGCCAACGUUUCUCCUCAUAAGCUGUCUGAAGCUGACAAUUAUCACACAUCAAAAAACAACCAUUAAUACAGAAACAACAUCAGACCGUGAGGUGGACAAUAUCUCUGUGGCAAACCCUUCUGGUUUCAUGUACUGAAAGUGGAACGAUGCUGCAGAUCUCCAGGACCAAGGAACCAGCCAUCAGCUCCAUCAGCUGUCUCCUCCACAAAAAUAAAAAAAAGAUAUUGAAAGUGCAGCCUGGUGAAACUGGGAGAUACUUCUGCGGGGUGAAACAAAGUACACUCUGUAACUCACCUCAUUACCACAGAUUACACAGAGGUAUCGGUAGCUCUAUUUUUAGGCUGCCACAAUUCUAAGAGUACCUGAGGCUACUCAGACAAGUCAUGCACAAGCUGUAAUUGCAUGAUAUGUUUUAUUGCACGAUAUGUUUUCCACUGAAAUUCCUGCCUCCUCCAGCUUACAAGAUAGGAACCAGACCAGAAUUGCACAAGCCAAAUUGUUUUUUUUUUUUUUCUUGGCUUUUGAGUCUGACUGCUACCAAAAUACUGCUUCAGCGUUCCCCUUUUGUUGCUUCAUAGCUUCCUACUGCAUGCAUCUGCAGUCUCUCUCCUUUUACUAUGAAGUACUUUAGCAGAUGGAUCUAAGCUGGUGCACACCCAGAACAUCACUGCCCUCCCCCCCUUCCAGCACCUCACACCAAUUCUUCACUGCCUCUUUAAGAAGUUGUGCUACUGCACAGUGCUUUAAUUUGGGGAUAUGACUGCUACAAACAGAGCUUUUGUUUUAUUGCAUCAGUUUGGUUGCUCUAGUUAAACUUCUGGAUCUGCUUUGCUACAGGGCAAUGGUAACCAUCUGCAUACAAACAAGUGUUACACAGGAAAAGGAACGAGCAGCAGGACUUCCAGAAGAUAAACUGAAACCAGCAGACCACAAAACUUGAGAUGAUCUUUGAGACAGGUAACUAAGAUUUGAUUCUUGACAUGAUAAGCCACAAAAUGCUCAUUUUAAUGGAGGCUCUUCGCAUAUAAUCAAUUACAGUAAUCAAAGGGAACUUCAGGAGACUAAUACCUCAGGCAAAGAUCAGAUUAUGAGAACAUCAUUCAAAUUUAACAAAAUACAAAUAGGAAUACAAGGAAUUGUUUGGAAGUUUAGUAUAAAUAGGAUUAGAGAGCUUUUUAUGCAAGUCCAAAAAAGAGUACCAGAACUGUUUUGAAAUGUAAUUAGUUUAUUAGAGAUCUGACCUGACAACCUGAGAAAUAUCAGUUGCACACCAAACCUGCAGACUUUGCCAGAGUGAUUUGGCAGCUCUGUGAUUCAGUCAUGGUUCAAGAACCACCAGUUCUACUUGCUUUUCCACCCACUUAUACACAUUUUUAAGUCUCCUAAGUUAUAAGAAGAAUACCACAGCAGAAGACAGCCAUUUGAUGAGAGAACUUGACUGCAAUAACAUUAUGUGCAUUUUCUACCAGGUUAUUCUUCUCAUCUUUAGUACUACCAUAUUUUCCAAUUCCAUACUUAACAAAUUAGGAAUGCUCCAGAAGAGUAAGAGACAAAGGCCAAUUCACACAAGGAAAACCUCACACCACCUACUUCAGGCAUAUUUCAAGUGCUUUGAAAUUAUCCCUAUUAUUCCCUGAAAAGCUUCUCCCUUCUGAUUACAGACUAUAGGGGGAUUUGGUCCCACACAGUCGCACUGGAUUUGUAUGAAUAAAAUAGUGCACAUAUACUCCAAAAGGACAUGAGAGAACCACAUACAUCGCUCCAAAAGUAAUGCCUCCUACCUAUUUCCAUGGAAACUACAACGGAUACAAAGAACAUAAUAACACUAUUUGAUAUUCUCAGCUACCAAACGCUGUUUUUUGACAUAGCCACCACCAUUAGCUGUGUAUUUCUGACAGCAAUGAAUGAGAGCUUGCAUCCCAUACUCAUAAAAAUCUGCAUGGCUGUCUGGAACAUGGUUUGUCUUUCAUGUAGCUGCUGCCAUCACUGGAACGUACCACCUCCCCAUCUCACUGUGCUCAUAUCCACUGUUUGGUUCUCCAUCAAUGUUCAUCAAGCAUCAAUGAAUAUCAACAAGUGCAUUUUUUUCCUUGUGGAGGAAUUCAAUGACACACCUUUGCUUCAUAUGUGCUUCUUUGUCAGAUGCCACUCCAUCUGAUUGCCCCUCUGCAGCCAUUUGUCACACAGCAACAAAGCAUAACCGAAUAGUGGUAGAAAGGUUUAACCUCUACUGGCAUACUACCAAUAUUCACCUCUGACGUCAUGGGCUGACAUCAUAAAGUAGGAGGCAUUACUUUCGGAGCAGACCUCGUAACAGCUACACUGCAGACCUGUGCUCCUUCCAUUGGACCAUUACAGCCAUUUUUACAAAUAUUAACUUCUCUGGCAUUGUAUUUUGAGCAAUCUUGAGUUAACGAACAUUUGAAAUCCAAGUCUUUUUAUGGUCAAUUUAGGUCUCCCAAGAAAGAAUGAGUUUGCUCUUACAGAGUCCAUCAUGCAAUAUGCUACAUAUCGGAUGGCUUUUACCCUUGGGGUUCAUGUUUAAUUUCUGCUAUAUCUAAAUAACGUAAGUGCUUUUGAAUCAUACAGAGUUACAUACUUAAAAAAAAAAAUGAGGAAAGAAUCCAGACCAUUUCCAUAUAUUUGAAGGACUAUUUAAAAAAGACAAAGCACACCUAUGCAUAUGUGGUUUAACAACAGCUCUUCACUGUUUUGUGGUAUCUGUAAUCAGAUUGUGAAGCAAACUCUCACAAGUGACUCCAGCAUGAGUCACUGUAACCAAAAAAAACUCAUACUACUUUAGAACACUGAAAAGGAUGUCAUUUAAUCUGCAUAUACAAACAUGCAGUUUCCCUAUAUACUGAUACCAUCUGAUACACUACAGUAUCAAGCGAGCGGAAACAUCUACUAGAACAGCUUCCAGCAGGGCAAGCAUCAGACAGGUGCUUGAGCAAGAGAAUACAUGCUAGAUGGUUAUUUUAUCAUUUUUUUAAUGAACAGCUACCAAAAUAAAAUACUAUGAACACUUGUUCUCAGUAUGUACCUGAAAUGUUACUCCUAGGGAUUGGAAGUACACUGGAUAUGGAGCUUAAAGAAAAAACAUAAUAAUUUUAAACAAACUACAUGUCCACUCACUAAUCUCUCCAACUCAACAUUCUGUAUAGCCUUAGCACUGUGCCCUUCCAAAGCAACUUUCAGCAACGUUUUCUUCUGAGAUUUCACAUUAGUGCUGAUGUGUUGGUGUUGCAGAAGAAAACUUAUCUUUCGUAUCUUGUUUCAAAUUGCAUGCUCUUCAGUCUGGCUACCAGCAAGAACUGUUCCCUCAUUCUGAGCAAGACAUGGAAAAAAAGGAAGUAUUCUUAAGUCACAUCAGCUUAAUGGUGACAGUUCUGAGAUGGCCAAAGCACCAGGUUAGCUUUAGGAUAAGGAAAGGAAUCACAGGAAUUUGAUAUUUUAUUUUGCAAGCUCUCUAUUCAGUUGCAAAUAAGGCCUCAAAUACUUCCACUUUUCAAGACAAAAGAAUGAGCCAGGAAUGCAUAUGAAUGCAUAUUAUUAUGAUGUUCAGAUACUCAGGUGAGCAUAAAUCAACUCUAAGUUUGCAAACAGCUGUCUGUGUAGGUAAGGAUGUGCAGGUUUGUGUUUCUGUAUGUGCCCUUAACACAUGCACCAAAUCAGCGUGAGAAAAGGCAUUUCACUUCAAGUGUUUCACCAUAUUUCACUUCCCCUCCCUUUUUAAAUCCUCUCCCUGAUUUCUAUACUGCUUCCUCACUAAGAUUUGUGCAUCUCUAAGGAUCUCUCACUUUUUCAAGUUUUAUACUUGUCUGUCCUUUGAAAUGAUAGAAAAGCAAGGCAGUAAGUCUACUGCUCUAAAACUUCUUCGGGUGAUUUUCUACAUUCAUGUUUGCUGGUCUGAUCCCUAAAAUUACCCUUUAAGCAGUUACUGGUGACAGUUUCUUACAUGUUUAAUGCAAGUUUCUUUUUCACAUCAUCUUUCACUAUCUGGAAGACUCCUGUAUAUUCUGUAUGUGUGUGUAUAUAUAUAUAUAUAUAUAUUUUUUUUUAAUAAAAAGCUAUAUCAACAUAAAUGUUUGUGAAUAUCAUCUUUGUAACCUGAGAUUUGGUUUGGAUGAGAAGAGAUUGUGACUUUCUAAAAAUCAC
Molecule: long non-coding RNA, 5744 nt
Filed under: Gallus gallus (chicken)
Lineage: Eukaryota; Metazoa; Chordata; Aves; Galliformes; Phasianidae
Source: RNAcentral